UACGUAGGGUGCAAGCGUUGUCCGGAAUUAUUGGGCGUAAAGAGCUCGUAGGCGGUUUGUUGCGUCGGCUGUGAAAUCCCGAGGCUCAACCUCGGGUCUGCAGUCGAUACGAGCAAACUAGAGUGUUGCAGGGGAGACUGGAAUUCCUGGUGUAGCGGUGAAAUGCGCAGAUAUCAGGAGGAACACCGGUGGCGAAGGCGGGUCUCUGGGCAACAACUGAC
This 221-nucleotide ribosomal RNA is filed under the name uncultured bacterium. RNAcentral describes it as "partial 16S ribosomal RNA". It matches the Rfam family "Bacterial small subunit ribosomal RNA", at positions 524 to 744 of the family's 1533-position model. The record is from RNAcentral.